Molecule: long non-coding RNA, 2271 nt
Filed under: Homo sapiens (human)
Lineage: Eukaryota; Metazoa; Chordata; Mammalia; Primates; Hominidae
Description: non-protein coding lnc-TRMT10B-4:2
Source: RNAcentral
AGUUUGUAAAGUAUGGUAAGCUGGCCUGUUAUUUGUUUAGUAUCUUCUGGAUUUUUUUUUUUUAAUUAUAGAGCUAGCUUACCGUGUGUAUCAUGUAAAAAAAAUUCAUAAGAUUAACAAUUUCCAUGAGAAUAUCAUAAACUCAGGGCACACAUUCUGGCCAUUCCUGACUAAAAAACUUCAAGCAGAAUAAGCAGCUAUAAAAUAGAAAAGAAAAAUUAAGGAUAAACGGCAUUGUGAAAAAAAACCGAGCCACACAGAUGAGAAUUAAAAAUUAACAGCCAGCAAACUCAAAAGAACCUUUGUCCUCCUUGAGAUAUGGUGAUGAUCAAAAAGUUAGCAAGGAAUAUUAAUCAAGGAAUUAAAGGGCAUUAGGAAUGCUAUAGUAUUGGAAGAAAUUACAUCUUAACAUUUCAAAGCCCCAUUUCACUUAAGAGUAAAAUCUAAUCUGAUGUUUUUUACUCUGAAUUUUAUUCAGUAAUUUUUAUUCAUAAUUCAUGAUAAUUGGUAAUGUAGUAUAAUUGUUAGUAAAUGCAGUACAAAUUGUUCUACUGUUUUAAAAAGUUUUCCGCAGAACAGUGCAUUUAUGGCAAUGCUAUGUUUAAUGAGUUAGGGACAUCAAAUAUAUAGUAGUUCCUUAUUUUCAGUUGUGAAAAUGAAAUGGCUAAAGCAGAAGAGACGUCUAUUUUAGUCUUUUAAAAAUGUGUGUGGGUGGUCUUUUUUCCUCAGAAGCCCAAAGCACAUGUAUAUUUUGUUAUUUCUCCUUGCUAUAUUCCUGAGACUAUACUAAAAACUUUAAGAAAAGGAACAAGAAAAAGGUAAAUUCAUGUGUUCCCCACUGCUGUGUCUAGAACCAAGAUCACAUUAUAUCAUUGUUAAAAUUGUGUUAUCUAGAAAGUGCAAUAUAGGGAAAACACUCUAAGAAUCUUUUAAAAGCCUAGUGUUUCCCUUAUUUGUCAGAAUAUGUGGUAGUGGCAUCCAUAAGUAUCUUUUAACUUGCAUUUAGCAGGACAAAUAGUGUGAUACUUAUACUGAUGACAAUCAUCCCCAUUUAAUGACCAGCAGUCACUGAGCGCUGUGAAAAUUCACUCAGUGAUACCCCGUGUUGGUCUUGAAGGAAACCGUACAUAUGAAUUUUUGGAUAGCUAAUGUAUAUCUCUCAAGUGCCAACAUUUAAAACUUGUAAUUAUUUUUGAUGUGAGUAUUUCAGGUAUGUUAGUAUACCUUCCUGCCUUCUUCUUAAACAUCAUGCUCAGUAUAAUUCACAUUUUCAUGAUGAAAAGUUAAAGUUAUAUUCAUAAUGUAUUAUUAUAAGUAUCCAGCUCUGAUGUAUGUAAAACACUUCAUAAAAUGUAAAGGGCUAUAACAAAUAUGUUAUAAAGUGAUUCUCUCAGCCCUGAGGUAUACAGAAUCAUUUGCCUCAGACUGCUGUUGGAUUUUAAAAUUUUUAAAAUAUCUGCUAAGUAAUUUGCUAUGUCUUCUCCCACACUAUCAAUAUGCCUGCUUCUAACAGGCUCCCCACUUUCUUCUAAUGUGCUGUUAUGAGCUUUGGACAUGAGAUAACCGUGCCUGUUCAGAGUGUCUACAGUAAGAGCUGGACAAACUCUGGGGGGACACAGUCUUUGAGACAGCUCUUUUGGUUGCUUUCCACUUUUCUGAAAGGUUCACAGUAACCUUCUAGAUAAUAGAAACUCCCAGUUAAAGCCUAGGCUAGCAAUUUUUUUUAGUUGCAACUAAGUAAGAUAUACUACAAACUAAGGAUGCUGCUAGACUAAGGAAUAAACAGCAAGGUACCAAAGUACAGCAAAGCAACAACAAAGGCUCUGUAUUUGCAGAGGGGUCUAUCAUGCUUUUAAGAAAAAAGAAGAGUACAGGAAAAAAAUUCAGAUAGACAUAAGAGUAUUUUGGAUGCCAUUAAACUUUGUCAAUAACCAUUAAAACAUAGGCUUAAAUUAUCACGUAUUGUUACAAAGACACAGUUUUGUCUCAUUAUAAAAUAAGAUUAUAUGAAAUUUAUAUUCUAGAAAUGAUUCCAAAUCAUGUCCUAAGAAUUUCUCCCAUUCAAAUGAUAAUGGAAAUUACUGUCAAAAGGAAAAUCUCAAAGUUACCAUUACGCUGCUCUCUUGUAAAUGAACUAGGGAUAAAGAUAUGGGUUUUAUCAAAAGCCCUAAGGAAUAUAUCUCACAUUCACCUCCUAUAUGUAUGUGUAUAUAUAAAUGCCACUAUAAAUGAAAAUGUCACCCAGAGAUAAUAAAAUAAUUUUUAAAGUUU